GAAUGAAGAACGUAGCGAAAUGCGAUAAGUAGUGUGAAUUGCAGAAUUCAGUGAAUCAUCGAAUCUUUGAACGCACAUUGCGCCUUCUAGUAUUCUGGGAGGCAUGCCUGUUUGAGCGUCAUUAAACCUCUCUCAAGUAUGAUUACUUGGAUGUGAAGGAAGAGUACCUUAAACUUAAGGAGUGUUCUCCUUUGAAAUUGAUUAGCAGAUGGUAAUGUUAUUAAAUCCCUGAUGUUGUAAGAAAUAACAGUGGUUUUGUAGACUAUUAUCUAGCUUUAAAUUAUAAUUUUUAUUAUGGUUGACCUCAAAUCAGGUAAGGAUACCCGCUGAACUUAAGCAUAUCAAUAAGCGGAGGA
RNAcentral lists this unclassified non-coding RNA (356 nucleotides) under soil metagenome. RNAcentral describes it as "partial contains 5.8S ribosomal RNA, internal transcribed spacer 2, and large subunit ribosomal RNA". The stretch from base 3 to 121 matches the Rfam family "5.8S ribosomal RNA", at positions 36 to 154 of the family's 154-position model. The record is from RNAcentral.